UAAAGAAUAAUUUUCUGUUGUCUGCAGGUCCUGUUUACUUGAAGAUUUUUCUCUCACUUGUUCAAAGAAUCUUAGCUAGCCAUUACAAUUCUCUUCAGCAACUAAAGGGGAAAACAGCCUAUCGAAUGGAAUUUGUUUAUGGAAAAGCAUUCUACAGGGCUGUCAGCUCAGCUGCAUGAAUUGAAGAACUUACUGUCUGAAUUAAUCCAUAGCAUAGCAGCCCUACAAACUGGGAGGCCUGAUUUUUGAGUUUGGCCCGAGGAUAGGAAGUCAAAAGCUGGCAGAAGACGGAUGCUUUGCCAAAGUGACAAAUUUCUUUUCCUGGAGAAAGUUGCUGACUGCAGUGUUCCAAUUGGAGCAGCUUAUCUGCCCCUCCAGAUGUUGAAAUAAUGACAGAUGCCCAGAGAAAGCUUGACAAGAGGAAGAAAAGAGCCUGCUGAAGAGUCCAACCUGUUUGUAUGCGGGAAAAUAAAAGUAACACUUACUGAGAUCCCUACUCUGGUAAGAGGUCAUCAACCUCCUGUGAGAGAAACUUGUUCUCACCAGAGGAAAACUACCCAGUUGUAAAAUAUGGUUUGCAAGAUGAGAGAAACAUUUAUCCAAACAUUGCAUCUUUCCUAAGAGAUUUCUUUGCAUCUUACUUGG
Molecule: long non-coding RNA, 645 nt
Filed under: Capra hircus (goat)
Lineage: Eukaryota; Metazoa; Chordata; Mammalia; Artiodactyla; Bovidae
Description: lncRNA (ENSCHIG00000004340.1)
Source: RNAcentral